Molecule: RNA transcript, 1451 nt
Organism: Diabrotica virgifera virgifera (western corn rootworm)
Lineage: Eukaryota; Metazoa; Arthropoda; Insecta; Coleoptera; Chrysomelidae
Gene: Mnr
Gene name: FHA domain-containing protein FhaA
Exons: 9
Source: RefSeq, a predicted model, not a curated record
GAACUAUGAUGUUUAUGACGUCACUCAUGGUAAACGCGUCCAAAAUGCGCUGUAAAGCAAAAAGAAAAUUAAAUUAAAAGACAGUGACAGUCAGUGGUCGGUCGUCUCGUGUCGUUGGUUUGAAUAGUUGAAUAAUUUUGUGACUGCAUUGUGUUUCUAUAUUUUUAUUCGUCUGCCAGUACGUCUGCAAGAUUUUGACAAGUAUUUUGUGGAUUAGGUUACAUGACACCAAAAUGAAUCUAUUCCAGUUUGCUAUUUUCUUAGGAUACUUUAGUAUUGGAUACUGUUACACAAAAUAUGGAAGAACUUGCAAAGACAUAGGAUGUCCCAGUACUCAAGAAUGUGUCAUGGCCACAGAUCCAUGUAGUUACUACCAUAGACAAGGGGAAUGCGGUUCCUAUCCCACAUGCCAAAGAGUUUCAAAUGCACCCAGGACAUGCUCUACGUACGUUUGUCCGCCUACCAAAGUAUGUAGAAUGGAUGGAGAUACACCAAAAUGUUUUGAUGAUGUGGGCAAAGUUGGCCAUGUAGGUUACGAGACUAGUGGAAACACUAAUCAUUUAUCACAAAGUGGACAUAAUGGUAAUCUGUAUCCUAAUCUACCAAAAGGAGAAACAACACCUAGGCCGAAUAUUAACAGACCAGUUAGUUCAGGUGGAUAUCAAGGAGGUCAAGUAGGUUCUGGUUAUCCAGGAGGACAAGUAAAUUCAGGUUAUCCAGGUGGCCAAGUAGGUUCAGGCUAUCCAGGAGGUCAAGUAGGUUCAGGCUAUCCAGGAGGUCAAGUAGGUUCAGGCUAUCCAGGAGGUCAGGUAGGAUCUGGAUAUCCUGGAUACACACAGCAAGGAGGUUAUCCCAGACAAGGAUAUCCACAACAAGGAUAUCCACAACAGGGUUAUCCACAACAAGGUAAUUAUCCACAAGGAUAUCCUCAACAGGGAUAUCCCCAAUCAGGAUAUCCUCAAUCAGGAUAUCCACAACAAGGUAAUUAUCCACGACAAACAGUUUAUCCACAGCAAUCAGGAUAUCCGCAGCAAGGAGCAUAUCCUGGAUAUAAUCAAGGUAAUCAAAGACAAACCGGAUACCAACAAUAUGGAGGAUAUCCACAAACCAACAAACCAAGCUCGGGGACUUCCAUAUCAGACAAAAUCACUAGCGGCCUUAAAUCCAUAGGGCUAUUCUGUGUUGUCUUGGUGUAUACCAGGUUAUUUAGUAUAUGAAAAUAGAUUUGUAUAAAUUUACCAAACUAAUAUACUUAAAUUCUACAAAAAUUCCCGGCUAUAAAUGUGGAUUUUUUAAUAAACUGCGUGUCAAGUAAAAGAAGAGAUAGUACUGCUAGGGAAUUCAUUUUGUACUCCAUGCAUGAUCCAUCAUUUUUAAUUAUUUUUUUAUUUUGUAUAAAAAGACUAAAUCCGUUUAUAAUUAUGUAAAUUAAUAAAGAUAUUAUAUUAUAA